GGACGUGAGUUUGAGUAAACUCCGGGAGUUGGUGAUGGACAGGGAAGCCUGGCAUGCUGCAGUCCAUGGGGUCGCAAGAGUCAGACAUGACUGAGCGACUGAACAACAUCAAGAGUCAGGAGUUGUAACAUGGGUCAUUUGCAUCUAAUGGGAGAUACUUGGAUGGCCAUGAGGCUUGGGGUUGCUUAUGUAAAUGAGAACUUGACUCCAAGUUCAAAGGUACAGCCCAGGGGGUUCGCUCCCACCUCUUCUUCUCACAGCUCUGUUCCUGAGCCCUGGGCACUGGAGCCUCAAGAACGGUUUGCUGAGUGACUGGAUAAAUGAACAAACCGCGGUCAUCAGUAAUGGAUUCUGAGCCCACAGGCUGCAUUUGAGAGCACACAGGUCCUUUCUGCUUCCUAAGGUGCAUUUGAUUUGCAUUCUUCCCUGACAUCGCCUGCGACCUAAAAGAAUUAGCCUCACUCUAACAGCUUUGAGACGAGGAAAUGUGAUCCGAAUGCUGGAAAGGAAAUGGUAAUAAAAAAAACUUCCCCGGGUGGAUGCAAGGGUCUGAGCCAGUUGUUCAAAAGUGAAGAUGGAGAAAGAGCAUCAGAAAGGAAGCGGAGGGGACUUCCCUGGUGGUCCAGUGGUUAAGAUUCUGUGCUCCCAAUGCAGGGGGGCGUGGGUUCAAACCCUGGUCAGGGAACCAAGAUCCCUCAUGCCGCACAGCGUGACCCAAAAAAAAAGCAAAACAACAAACAGGAAGUGACGUAAAAGACCACCCCUCCCAGCAUCCUCAGGCAGGCCGCCAGCAGAAGUUAACCUGGAGGACAGACAGAAAACUGAGCCCACACCUCCCCAGUGAGAAUGACGGCAGGGUGUAGACAGCUGACCUCGUAGCCUCUACCCAUGCCGUGUGCUUCACCUCAAAGCCUGACACCACAAGUGGGCCACGGUGCCACCGGAGAAGGGGCGGACAGAUUGCUGCAGCCUCUGACCUCCAAUGUUGAGAUCGUCUCUGAAAACCCGUCCUGCAGCCAGAGGUGGGUCGUGUAACUCAGGAGACCCACAGAAGGAGAGGCAGCAAGACGAGGCCGAGAAGGACCCCGCGUAGAGGUGGCCCAGGGCUGCACAGGUGUAGCCUUCUCAGGAGUGCAGGCUGGCAGACACCUACUGAAGCCAGCCUUCAAGCUCACUCUGAAGAUCUGACUGUGAACGUCCACGAGGAGCUCAUCUUCAAAGACAGUCCCUGUAUCUGGAUCAGUCACAGCCAGGGCCCCCCACCCGAGAACCGGACCAUCAGAGAAGCCACCCCCCAUCCCAGCCUCAGCAGACAAACAACGGGACAGCCAUACCAUCACACACACCAGCCUACAAUGGUUUCCCUGUCCGUACGUGCCCUAGACAGACAGUCCUAACACAUCGAGUUUAUUGCUGGCUUCGUAAAAACUUCCCCCACACAACACACCCAGGGAUUUGCCAGGAUCUAAAUUUAAACAACCAACUCCUGAAAACACAUGCUGGUCAAACCAAGACAACAGAAGCCAAUAAAGACUGAGAUAGAAAAUGCCCUGGUUGUAUUCGUCAUGUCGACAUUAUUUCUUAUAAUUGUUCUCACUUGUAUUUCUUUACUCUUUUUUGUUUGAUGAGUAGAAAUUUUAGUCAUCAUGUUAUAUGAUUUGGGGAGCUUUGUAUUUGGAAUCCCUAUUUUCAGAACUGACCGUCCCCAACUUUUAAUUUUUCACUCUUCUUUGCCUUCCCCCUGACUUUUUCCACCCACUGAUUUGUUCUUCUUUAUUCCCAGAAAGUCAUUUUACAGUUUAUCAAAAAUGUGUUUUGCCUUGAGCUUUUCAGGAAAAUACGUCUUUGAAAUGAUUUAACGGAUGCUAAUUGUGUUAAUUAUUAGCUAAACCACUCGCUGUGUGUAAUCAUUAAUUUUGAUGGCUAUUAAAGUGAUUUUAAAUGUAAAAGCAUAUUAAAACCAUGAGUUGUUCUCACACUGGA
Long non-coding RNA from Bubalus bubalis (water buffalo), 1983 nucleotides. RefSeq lists it as uncharacterized. NCBI's taxonomy places the organism in Eukaryota, Metazoa, Chordata, Mammalia, Artiodactyla, Bovidae. The transcript is spliced from 2 exons. The record is from RefSeq and is a predicted model, not a curated record.